RNAcentral lists this long non-coding RNA (301 nucleotides) under Setaria italica (foxtail millet). RNAcentral's name for it is "long non-coding RNA (SITA_LNC007214)". The record is from RNAcentral. Lineage: Eukaryota; Viridiplantae; Streptophyta; Magnoliopsida; Poales; Poaceae.
GCAAGUGCAGAAGGGAGAAGGCGCUAUCUAGCAGCAGCAAACGCUUGUCUCAGCUAUGGCAUCAUCACUGACUCCGAGUACUAGUUCCGGCCGGCAGCCUCAACGCCGGGUCACAUUCAUCGACACAAUCCUAUCUACCACGGCAACCAGCCUUCGAACCUCUCCUCCACCGGCUUCGCCCGCGAAUCUCCGAUGACGCCGACAGGACGCGGUUGCUCCUUCGCUGCCGCUGCAGGCAAGCCGCUCUCCGGCUCCGUGCACGGGUCGUCGGCCUUCGCGAUCACGUUCUUGACGGCACCGC